GACGAACGCUGGCGGCGUGCUUAACACAUGCAAGUCGAACGGAAAGGCCCUGCUUUUGUGGGGUGCUCGAGUGGCGAACGGGUGAGUAACACGUGAGUAACCUGCCCUUGACUUUGGGAUAACUUCAGGAAACUGGGGCUAAUACCGGAUAGGAGCUCCUGCUGCAUGGUGGGGGUUGGAAAGUUUCGGCGGUUGGGGAUGGACUCGCGGCUUAUCAGCUUGUUGGUGGGGUAGUGGCUUACCAAGGCUUUGACGGGUAGCCGGCCUGAGAGGGUGACCGGCCACAUUGGGACUGAGAUACGGCCCAGACUCCUACGGGAGGCAGCAGUGGGGAAUAUUGCACAAUGGGCGGAAGCCUGAUGCAGCAACGCCGCGUGCGGGAUGACGGCCUUCGGGUUGUAAACCGCUUUCGCCUGUGACGAAGCGUGAGUGUCGGUAAUGGGUAAAGAAGCACCGGCUAACUACGUGCCAGCAGCCGCGGUGAUACGUAGGGUGCGAGCGUUGUCCGGAUUUAUUGGGCGUAAAGGGCUCGUAGGUGGUUGAUCGCGUCGGAAGUGUAAUCUUGGGGCUUAACCCUGAGCGUGCUUUCGAUACGGGUUGACUUGAGGAAGGUAGGGGAGAAUGGAAUUCCUGGUGGAGCGGUGGAAUGCGCAGAUAUCAGGAGGAACACCAGUGGCGAAGGCGGUUCUCUGGGCCUUUCCUGACGCUGAGGAGCGAAAGCGUGGGGAGCGAACAGGCUUAGAUACCCUGGUAGUCCACGCUGUAAACGGUGGGUACUAGGUGUGGGGUCCAUUCCACGGGUUCCGUGCCGUAGCUAACGCUUUAAGUACCCCGCCUGGGGAGUACGGCCGCAAGGCCAAAACUCAAAGGAAUUGACGGGGCCCCGCACAAGCGGCGGAGCAUGCGGAUUAAUUCGAUGCAACGCGUAGAACCUUACCUGGGUUUGACAUGGAUCGGGAGCGCUCAGAGAUGGGUGUGCCUCUUUUGGGGUCGGUUCACAGGUGGUGCAUGGCUGUCGUCAGCUCGUGUCGUGAGAUGUUGGGUUAAGUCCCGCAACGAGCGCAACCCUUGUUCACUGUUGCCAGCACGUUAUGGUGGGGACUCAGUGGAGACCGCCGGGGUCAACUCGGAGGAAGGUGGGGAUGACGUCAAGUCAUCAUGCCCCUUAUGUCCAGGGCUUCACGCAUGCUACAAUGGCUGGUACAGAGAGUGGCGAGCCUGUGAGGGUGAGCGAAUCUCGGAAAGCCGGUCUCAGUUCGGAUUGGGGUCUGCAACUCGACCUCAUGAAGUCGGAGUCGCUAGUAAUCGCAGAUCAGCAACGCUGCGGUGAAUACGUUCCCGGGGCU
Molecule: ribosomal RNA, 1346 nt
Filed under: uncultured bacterium
Lineage: Bacteria
Description: bacterial SSU rRNA
Rfam family: Bacterial small subunit ribosomal RNA
Source: RNAcentral